RNAcentral lists this ribosomal RNA (501 nucleotides) under uncultured bacterium. RNAcentral's name for it is "partial 16S ribosomal RNA". It matches the Rfam family "Bacterial small subunit ribosomal RNA", at positions 899 to 1397 of the family's 1533-position model. The record is from RNAcentral.
ACUCAAAGGAAUAGACGGGGGCCCGCACAAGCGGUGGAGCAUGUGGUUUAAUUCGACGCAACGCGCAGAACCUUACCUAGGUUUGACAUCCCGAGAACCCUAUGGAAACAUGGGGGUGCCCCGCAAGGGGAGCUUGGAGACAGGUGCUGCAUGGCUGUCGUCAGCUCGUGUCGUGAGAUGUUGGGUUAAGUCCCGCAACGAGCGCAACCCUUGCCCUUAGUUGCCAUCAUUAAGUUGGGCACUCUAGAGGGACUGCCGGUGAUAAACCGGAGGAAGGUGGGGAUGACGUCAAGUCCUCAUGGCCUUUAUGCCUAGGGCUACACACGUGCUACAAUGGCCGGUACAAAGGGACGCGAAGUGGUGACAUGAAGCCAAUCCCAAAAAACCAGUCACAGUUCGGAUUGGAGUCUGCAACUCGACUCCAUGAAGGCGGAAUCGCUAGUAAUCGUGGAUCAGCAUGCCACGGUGAAUACGUUCCCGGGCCUUGUACACACCGCCCGU